GGGGCGUGCCAGCUCCGUUCGCCGGAGAAGCUUACUGCGGACCAACGCCGUGUGCUUCCUCGUCGAACGGUGGCGACCACGCUGC
Molecule: microRNA precursor, 85 nt
Filed under: Triticum aestivum (bread wheat)
Lineage: Eukaryota; Viridiplantae; Streptophyta; Magnoliopsida; Poales; Poaceae
Description: MIR9657 microRNA precursor family
Rfam family: MIR9657 microRNA precursor family
Source: Rfam by way of RNAcentral